GACGAACGCUGGCGGCGUGCUUAACACAUGCAAGUCGAACGGAAAGGCCCUGCUUUUGUGGGGUGCUCGAGUGGCGAACGGGUGAGUAACACGUGAGUAACCUGCCCUUGACUUUUGGAUAAAUUCAGGAAACUGGGGCUAAUACCGGAUAGGAGCUCCUGCUGGAUGGUGGGGGUUGGAAAGGUUCGGCGGUUGGGGAUGGACUCGCGGCUUAUCAGCUUGUUGGUGGGGUAGUGGCUUACCAAGGCUUUGACGGGUAGCCGGCCUGAGAGGGUGACCGGCCACAUUGGGACUGAGAUACGGCCCAGACUCCUACGGGAGGCAGCAGUGGGGAAUAUUGCACAAUGGGCGGAAGCCUGAUGUAGCAACGCCGCGUGCGGGAUGACGGCCUUCGGGUUGUAAACCGCUUUCGCCUGUGACGAAGCGUGAGUGACGGUAAUGGGUAAAGAAGCACCGGCUAACUACGUG
Molecule: ribosomal RNA, 468 nt
Filed under: uncultured bacterium
Lineage: Bacteria
Description: partial 16S ribosomal RNA
Rfam family: Bacterial small subunit ribosomal RNA
Source: RNAcentral